GCCUUUGUCACCUCAGAACCCUCCUGCCGUCACCGCUCCCCUGCCCGCCCUUCCUCCUCUCCUCCCAGUCCCGGUUAGGCAAACAAGGCCUGUUACAAGCAGCCAGGGAAGAGGAAAGCGCUAGCGAUGCUGAAAGGACAAAUUAAAAACUAAAACUCCUAAAGCGCCCUGCGAGCCCCAAACACGCUACCGGGGUGCCGCCUCGCCUCCUCCCUCAGACCGGGCUGAGCGCAACUUGCCCACGCAGGAGAAAAGACGGAGGUGCCCUCAAGAUUUUACUUCAGGUUCUCCUGUUUUAUCUCACAGACCUGCUUGUCAUGCUUUAUAACCACUGCUUAUAGCUUUACUUUUCGAGUCUUAACAUUAUCGGACAGCGAAAAAUUAGCAAUGUGUAAGUGGCUCUCCCCUCUCGAGGUAAUGGAACAGUCCGCCGUGUUCCAGGCGCCGAGGCUCCUUCGUUUAACCCCUUUCCUGCCGAUCCCGAAGAAUCUGCAUGGCGGAGGCGGAGUGGGAUCCUGCCGCGGGGUCUGCUGCGCUGGAGCACCGCGGACAGCCAGGAACAUGUGGAAAGACUUCUGGAAGAAAAACUUCUGCAACUUGCAUGAGUGAAGGAGAGCUUUUUCUAGAAACCUCUCAAGUCAUAUGACUGGAUCUACAAAUUUGAGUUCAUUGUCUGCUUAAGGCCAAGAAAGGUUUGACAACUGUAUUUCAUUAAAAUUUUGGACAACUUGAGAAUCAGCAGAGAAAAAUAUGCUGCAAAACAUGAUACAGUAAGAACAAGCUGCUGGAAAACAUGAUAUGCAUAACAUCUUGAACAAAAUGAAUUUUACAAAAAUAUGAAUGAACAAAAUAACAUAAAAUUAAUUCUGUCUGUACAACCAAAGGUGGGAUGGCUUGUGUUCAAAUAUGUGAAGUGUAUCUGAAAACGGGAAGGCAAACACCACUGUUUGUUCUGAGACAAAAUCAGAGGUCAGUUUGCAGAGAGAAAGAUUUAUGUUAAGCAUUAGAGGGAAAAAAAAAGAAAAAUAAAGCCAGUAUUUUCACAAUUUGAUAAUUAAAUACUGAAGUAGAUGGCCUGAAGAUUUAAGAACAGGUCCUGUGAACAGUUUAGAUCUUGUCUUUGGGCAAGAGAAUGGACUAAAAUAAGUUUCCUUUCAAUGAUUUCUGAUACUUAUAUUUUAUAUAUCCUUUACAGAAUUAAGUCAGCUGUGAGAAAAAGGCACAGAGAGUAGCAGAGUAAAUGAACAUAGUUUUUGUCUGAAUUAUUAUCCUCUGUUAAGGAAGGUAGAGAUUUGCAUUGUUAUUUUAAAAACAGAAGACCUGCAUUUGUAGUUUCCCGCUGUAAUAUAAGUUUGCAACAAAGAAAACCUAAGUUUAAUCUCUCUAAUGAGACAUAGACGAUAAUAAUUUUUUAAUAAGUCAUUGUAUUCUGUAGCUAAUGGGAUUUGUACCUAUUGGAAUGUAUUUCAUGUAGUUCCACAGUAACAUAAGGAAGGUAAAACCUAAACUCUUUUUAAGAAGGACUGAUUUGAGGUAGUCCUUUUAUUUAAAACCUUUCAGAUUGUACCUCUUGUGAAAUGAUUCAUUUCUAAUGAAUCUGCAUCAGGCAUGAGCUGCAGAGCAUGACUUGUGUAGGUGAGCUCUAGAUGCUGCAAUGACAACAGCAAUGACUCAAGACAACUGUCUUGAACCUCGUCUUAGCUCCGGGACUACAUUUAAAACACUGAAUUAUGUUGAAUGAAAUUUAAAGCGUGGAGCUACAGUUAAGAAGCCUUUUUCUGCCAAUUACACUGUGCACAUUAUUCAAUAAUAAAUUGUAUUGCCUUUUAA
This is a long non-coding RNA of Passer domesticus (house sparrow), 1830 nucleotides long. RefSeq lists it as uncharacterized. The transcript is spliced from 3 exons. Lineage: Eukaryota; Metazoa; Chordata; Aves; Passeriformes; Passeridae. The record is from RefSeq and is a predicted model, not a curated record.